UUGCAACUGCUUAACCCAGGUGGGUGCUUUAUAUAGAUUUAUAUGCAAAUUCAGUGCAUAGAACAGAAAUCUUUGUUAUUACAAUGCAAUUUCAUUUACAUAGAAAUCUUUGUUAUUAUAAUGCAAUUUCAGUUGCCUGUGUAAUUUUAACAGGGAAUGUGUAUAUAGUACAGGCAUCAUCAUUAUUACAGGCUGUUUGGAAGGUAAUUUAAAUAGAUUGGAAAAAAUCUCCCUGUUUUCCUAGAUUCCAAGAUCUUGCUUACUUUUAUAUCUCAUUUUGUGAUGAUGGAAACUACACUUUGUUUUCAUAAUUGUGUGGUUGGGCUUCAAAAAUAGUAUUCAUGGAGUGUAACUGUAAAACCCUGAUGUUAUUAUUUUAAAUGAGUAGCGCGUAUGUGGUUUAUGCGUAGGAAACGUGUUUUUAUCUGUGUUGCUCAUGUUACUUUUCCAAAAUUUGGGUUGAGAUAAUUUCUAAAAGAGCAGCCUUUCUCUAACCAAGGAUCUCAACUUUCUCUUAUCUCUACCAGACCAUAAACCUUUGACCUUGAGAUUGAGAUCAAAAGACUCUACCAUCAUGAAAUCAAUUAUGCCCAGAAUUUUAACUUAAAAGGUCCUCACUUCCUUCCACAGCAGUGUAGACAUGAUUUUCAGUUGUAAAUACCUACCUAAUUUUGUCCAGAUUUCAUUAGGUUUUAAAAGCAGUGUGUUUAACCACUGUUCAUCCGUGUUAAAAUCAUAGUGCGAGCCCCAGGCUCCUAGACUCUCCACUGAAGGUUCAUUUGUCCAUAUCCAAAGUGAAAAAUUCUUUUUUAAUUUUUUCCCCAUUUUUAUUUUGCAUGUGAAAAAUAGCUUGUGUGUUUGUUCUUGUGAGAGGUACAUGCUAAUAAAGGUGCUCAUAUUCCCUCCAUCCUACUCUCACACCUCCUGUGACAUCUUGAUAUGCAAUUUUCUGGAUGUUACCAAUUGUGCUGUUUGCCAAAUCUCUAAAAGAAUAAUGGACUUUUAUUUUUGGUAAACAGAAUAGUGUAAUUUAUUGUACAGAUCUUCAAUGACAGUUAUCUUCUAUGAUUUUUAAGAAUUUUGUUUAUUCCUUUGUCCUAUCAUGAUGUACCAUUUUCUUUGGGGCACAAUCUUUGAUCUUCUUUUGUAAAAUAUUUGAAAUCUUAUUUAUCUUCUCUAGAAUUUGUUACUUGUUAUCUACUUUGUUCUGGUUUUUCGACUUUGAUAGGGUUCUUAUAAAUCCAUUGACAUUGGGCUGUAUGGACGUGCACUUUGGAGCUUUCUUAGAUGGGUAAGAGGCCCUUUAGAGCUUAAGUUUUGGGUCUCUUCAAGGCCCUUGUAAGAUUCCAGGCUUCAUCCCUCUAUUUAGGAAAAAAAGAAUAGGCUUCCCUUUUUCCAAGAAGAUGAAUCUAAUAGAUGCAUAUUUGUCUUGACAAAAUUAAUUUUAUGCCCUGAUUACUUGGGGAGGUGCUGUUCAAUCAAGUUUAGUAGACAAGUAACCUUUCUCCCUCUUUGAUUGUAUACUUUAACCUUGAAAUUAGUCUUUGGAAAUUCCAGUGAAUCAGGGAUUGAACAAAUCACGUUGGUGGUAGCUCUUGUUUCAUUGUGACUUGACAUGGUUGUUUUAUCACUUGUGCCACUCCAAUGUUUUUAGCUGACAACAUCAUCUUUUUUAUUCUGUUUUCUUUUUGUUUUGUUCUUUUUUAAUUUACUUUAGGUAGUUGCACAGCAGCGUGAAAUUACGACUUCCAAUUCAAAUUAGAAAUGGAAAGACAUAUUUGAUUGGUUGGUGUGGAUGUUUGAUAAUUACACAGCUUUCAUGUUAGAUAAGUAUCCCAUUCCAAUAUGUGAAUUAUUUUCUAUAGACCAAAUUUUAAAUUAAUUAUUGAAUGGUUAGCUGUUCAAAGGAUAACAGAAAUUUUAAAUUGUUUGUCUUACAUCAUCUUGUACUGACCAGUAAUAUAGUAUCAAGACACCUUUGAUGACUAUUGAAUAUGGCAUAAAAUCAUUGACAUCUUGUGAUCCUUUUUCUUUUCCCUUUGAGAUAGUGCACUCAGAUUUCCAUGAGUACAUCAACAUGGCUGAAAGCCCAUGACAGUUGUGCCUGCCAUGGGCUUCCGGCCUUUCUAGGUUGUUAAGGUUGUAUGUAUCGACACCAUGUAGGCAGGCACUUAAAUCCAGAAAUAUCAGUACUUACGUUCAAGUUGGGAGAUGUGUGGAUAUAUAUUUUUUAAACAUGAGCUCUUUGAAUUAUUAGAUAACAAAACAUUUCCAUGUCAACCAGUUUUUGGUAGCUGAACCUUGCUGGCUGCAAACUGGGGAGAUAUGACAUUUCUUGUUUUUGCAAUGGUGAAUGAGGAGCAGUGUGACUUGGAGCAUGCAUUUUGUGAAGAAGUUUCACACGUCCAUAUGAAUAAAUGGAUGAGAGUUGCCCACCUCAAAACACUAAAGCAUUAGCAUGAUGCAUGUUCAUGCUACAUUUUCGUUGUGUCGUCCCGGAAUGUCGGGAGACACACACACACAAACAUUUGAAUAAGUUUGGUUGUAUUGGGUUCGAUUAUGUGUUCAUUAAACAAGUUAUAUAAUUAAGAUAUGUUGGUUCUAUUAGACAUGUUUAGGGAGUGUGGCUGUUGCUAAAUUAUUGACAACCAAUGAUGCUAGAAAAUAUGGGUCAAUUUAGAGGCAGCUUAUACAUAGCAUGUGUUUAGUGAAGAUGAUUUGUUAGCAUAGAUGAAUGACACCACUGGUUUCAAAGUUUGAUUCGAGUCAAAGAGCAA
This 2777-nucleotide long non-coding RNA is filed under the name Prunus persica (peach). RNAcentral describes it as "long non-coding RNA (PPER_LNC003697)". The record is from RNAcentral. Lineage: Eukaryota; Viridiplantae; Streptophyta; Magnoliopsida; Rosales; Rosaceae.